AUAUUAUUUUAAGAGAUUUGGGUUUUUCUGUUGCAGUUCACUUUCUGUGACUGUGAGAGAAGACAAAACAACCACAGCAACCUUUAAAGAAGAAGAGAGCACAAAGCACAUAAAGAGGACCAAAAGCCGCCAUGCCAGCUAUUUCAUUGAAAGCAAAUGUAAUUUGCAUGCUGAGAUGAGACAGAAGUUCUCAGCCAUAGCUGAAGAAGCAGCACUUUGUUUACAUGACAACCUGGAGAUACUUGAAAGGCGGCGGGAAGAGAAAUGUUCACAGAAAUACCAAGCUUUAAAAAGUAUCAAGUGUUUUGAAAGAGACCUAGAAAGAAUGAGACAAUCUGGAACAAGAGCUGAAAGAGAACAUGAUGAAGAUG
Molecule: long non-coding RNA, 371 nt
Filed under: Crocodylus porosus (Australian saltwater crocodile)
Lineage: Eukaryota; Metazoa; Chordata; Crocodylia; Crocodylidae
Description: lncRNA (ENSCPRG00005006372.1)
Source: RNAcentral